GGAUGGAGACUCAUUCCCUGUUUUGAACUCUUCUAGAAUAGUCUACACAGAGUGAAUCAUGAAUUGGCCACCAGGUGUUACAUUCGUCAUCCUGUAAAAGGGAAGUCUGACUGCAGCCAUCCCCACUGAAGCCCUCCUGCUCCUGUAUCUCUCUCAUCUUAUUCUCCAGUUAUCUUUAAAAUCAACCCCUCUGGAAUCUAUUCUUCAUGGCACGAGGAAAAUGCUGAUGAGCCGAGGAUUGUGUUUCCGCAAAUGGCUCUCGUGCUCGACCCCAAGGACAAUGAGACAAACAGACCCAGUUCCAGUAAAUGUGAAGGUUGGAACACAUCUGAUCUACUGGGCGUCCUUCAACGUGAUACCCAGCUGAUGCCUGACCAAUGACCACCGGCAGAACCCGCUUAAUCUCCUUUUUUCAUUUACAUAUAAGGGUUUAUUCCUCCUAGGAGUUUUCCCCUGGCUAAAAAGUCAAGAGGUUUUUCUCCUAGGGUUUUUUUCAACCCGGUAGUCAGCCAUCAUUG
Molecule: non-coding RNA, 518 nt
Organism: Paramisgurnus dabryanus
Lineage: Eukaryota; Metazoa; Chordata; Actinopteri; Cypriniformes; Cobitidae
Source: RefSeq, a predicted model, not a curated record